UUGUAUAGUACCCAAGCAUUGAUGACAGU
Molecule: small RNA, 29 nt
Filed under: Bombyx mori (domestic silkworm)
Lineage: Eukaryota; Metazoa; Arthropoda; Insecta; Lepidoptera; Bombycidae
Description: ovarian small RNA-9762
Source: RNAcentral